Molecule: long non-coding RNA, 552 nt
Organism: Populus euphratica (Euphrates poplar)
Lineage: Eukaryota; Viridiplantae; Streptophyta; Magnoliopsida; Malpighiales; Salicaceae
Exons: 2
Source: RefSeq, a predicted model, not a curated record
AAUUCUCGUGUUCUUUUUUUGUUUGUCAUUAUCUUUAGCUUUUGCUUGUAUCAAUUGGUAUCAAAGCCCAAUGAUCCUAGGUUUAUUUAUUGUUGUGUGCUGCAAUCUCAUGGAAGAGAAUUUAUUUGUUGUUGUGUGUGCUAACAAACCAUGUUGGGAAAAGAUUGUGGAGCAGAGUGUGGCCAAGAAGGGGAUGGGGAGCUCCCCCAUUGAUAGAGGAACAUCCAGAAGCUCGCUAUCAAAGACAUGUAAAGACAGAUCACAUAAUUAACCUGUUGGCUAGAGGAGAGAGACUUGCGAGACCAGGGAUAAUGUGACCUGGGCUAAGAGAGUGAUCAUGGGUCCUUGGUUGGUAUUGCAAAUUACUAGUGUUAGUCUUUGAGAAACUAUUUAAAAUAAAUUGUGAUGCUUUUGGAGUAGGCAUUACCUUUUGCUAAAGGAGUUUAUUUUAGUUACUGACCAUGAAGCUCUGAAGUAUAUAAAUGGGUAGCAUAAGCUAAGUCGUCGACAUGCGAAAUGGGUGUUGAUUUUGCAAGAGUUCACUUUUUCAUU